CCCUUAGAUGUUCUGGGCCGCACGCGCGCUACACUGAUGCAUUCAACGAGUUUUUCCUGGUCCGAGAGGAAUGGGUAACCUUUUGAAAGUGCAUCGUGCUAGGGAUAGACUAUUGCAAUUAUUGGUCUUCAACGAGGAAUUCCUAGUAGACGUAGUUCAUCAGACUGCAUCGAUUACGUCCCUGCCCUUUGUACACACCGCCCGUCGCACCUACCGAUUGAAUGACUCGGUGAAAAAUUGGGACCGUGAGUCUGUUUGCUUCAUUGCGAGUGGAUUGAUGGGAACUUUUUUAAACCUCGCCAUUUAGAGGAAGGUGAAGUCGUAACA
RNAcentral lists this ribosomal RNA (327 nucleotides) under uncultured eukaryote. Its description in RNAcentral is "partial 18S ribosomal RNA". It matches the Rfam family "Eukaryotic small subunit ribosomal RNA", at positions 1470 to 1796 of the family's 1831-position model. The record is from RNAcentral.